AAACCAACAGGGAUUGCCUCAGUAGCGGCGAGUGAAGCGGCAAAAGCUCAAAUUUGAAAUCUGGCGUCUUUGGCGUCCGAGUUGUAAUUUGAAGAAGGUAUCUUUGGGCCCGGCUCUUGUCUAUGUUCCUUGGAACAGGACGUCACAGAGGGUGAGAAUCCCGUGCGAUGAGAUGACCCGGGUCUGUGUAAAGUUCCUUCGACGAGUCGAGUUGUUUGGGAAUGCAGCUCUAAGUGGGUGGUAAAUUCCAUCUAAAGCUAAAUAUUGGCGAGAGACCGAUAGCGAACAAGUACAGUGAUGGAAAGAUGAAAAGAACUUUGAAAAGAGAGUGAAAAAGUACGUGAAAUUGUUGAAAGGGAAGGGCUUGAGAUCAGACUUGGUAUUUUGCAUGUUGCUCUCUCGGGGGCGGCCGCUGCGGUUUACCGGGCCAGCAUCGGUUUGGAGCGGCAGGAUAAUGGCGGAGGAAUGUGGCACGGCUUCUGCUGUGUGUUAUAGCCUCUGACGAUACUGCCAGCCUAGACCGAGGACUGCGGUUUUUACCUAGGAUGUUGGCAUAAUGAUCUUAAGUCGC
This 571-nucleotide ribosomal RNA is filed under the name Candida albicans. Its description in RNAcentral is "eukaryotic LSU rRNA". It matches the Rfam family "Eukaryotic large subunit ribosomal RNA", at positions 62 to 648 of the family's 3401-position model. The record is from RNAcentral. Lineage: Eukaryota; Fungi; Ascomycota; Pichiomycetes; Serinales; Debaryomycetaceae.